RNAcentral lists this long non-coding RNA (16475 nucleotides) under Gossypium barbadense (sea-island cotton). RNAcentral describes it as "long non-coding RNA (GBAR_LNC004900)". The record is from RNAcentral. Lineage: Eukaryota; Viridiplantae; Streptophyta; Magnoliopsida; Malvales; Malvaceae.
AAAUCUCCAAAGAGCCAGAAAGCGAAUUUUAGUUUUUAAUGUUAUUUUUUUUUCUUUUAAAAGGGAAACCCGAAACCCUAGAUUAUGAAGAAUCAAAUCAUCAAAAAUAAAAUAAUUCCUUUGCACUAUUUUUUUUUUCCAAAAGCUAAGCUUAAAGCGUCAACCAAUGUCUGAUUAUUGAAUAAUUUUUUUGAUUAAUUAGCUAAGAACAAGAUUAAGUGGGGGCAUCCUUCAUUAGCUCUUCCCCACAUCAACUUAUUUAAAUCCCCAAAAUCUAGUGUCUGUUCCAGCUCUUUCUCCAGAUUUUUUUUCUCUCUCCAUUUUUUUUUUACCUAUAUCACUCUUCUUCGGCUUCCCUAGCUUCUUGAGGUAUAAUUUUCUUUGUAAACGGAUCCGAUUUUUUUUUUCUAAUUUUCUCAUUUUUAUUUGGUUAUUUUCUUGAUUCAGUUAAAAAAUUCGUAAUCAGAUCGUUAGGUUAUAUAUUUUGAUUUGACGUUCAUUUUAUGUUGUAUUGUUUUGCGUUUGCAUUUUCUGCUUUGAACGUGAAUGGUGAUUCGUUUUCCGUUAAGUAAUUUGUUUGUUUGACGGUUUUGAGAACUGUUAAUUCGUUUUGAUUCGGAAUUUGUCACUGAUGGCGGUGAAAAGCUUUGUUUUCGAGGUUUUUUGCGUGAAAUCCGUUUGGUUACAGAGAAAGUUAUUGUAAAAAAAAGCCAUCCGAGAAACAUUUUUCUUGUUCAAAACAUUUCUAUAAUAAACCGUUUUGACUUCUUCUUGUCAAGCUUUCUCGGCAACUUAGUUGAGAAAUGGAGUGUUUCACGCCCACUCAAUUGCUAGCAUUUUCUUUCUCUUUAUUACAACAUUUAAAAAAAUUAUUGCUAAAGGAGUUUUGUCAUUUUGGACUUUUUUUCAGGUGACAAUAAGAGGAGAGAAAGUUUAAGAUUCAAAGCAAAUUAGCUUUUGUUUCCAGGUGGUUCUUAUUAAUCUUCUUAACAUUUUCAUGUACGCUAUCUUUUUUAAUUAUUUUAUAUCCUGCCGUUGUCUGAAUAGUGUUUUAGCACUGUUCAUAUUUCUUUUUUUGUUUUGGUUGGGUCACUACAAAGCAUUAUAUGAUUACAUCAGCUUAGUUUCAAUUUAAAAAUUUGUAUUACUGACCCUCAAAAAAAAAUUGCAUUAGUGAAUGAGCUUGAGCCCUUUUAUACAUUGAGAUGCGAAAUAUAUGUCAUAGCAUACACGUUUUCAAACAGUUCUGAUCAUUUUUUGCAAGUUGGCGUUUCAUAUAAUUUCGUUAUGCUUUCACUGCUGUAGAAUCAUCAUUAUUUGGGUUUAUUAGGUAUGCAUAGUGUUAGUCCGUAGCUCUUUCAGCACAACAAUUAUGGAAAAGCACAUAAAAUAUUGUGGUAAUGUCUGUCUUUAUUGUCAUGCGAGAUGUUUCUAUACAUAUAGUUGAUGGUCAUUAAAUACUUGGUUAAAAAUUUGAACAUUUCUUAGAGAGUUUAUGAUGAAUAAAUGGUUUGUAUGCAUGAGUUUCAUGUGGAGAUUUGCUACAUGGCUACAUAUAUCUAGCGUUCAGUUCCUUUUUGCUAGCUAAAGUACAAUUCAAUGAAACUAAUCAUUUUGCUUUUCGUUGAAGUUCUGUUGAAGUAGAAGGUAGGUGAUACGAGUCACAAAAGCCCAAAUUCUUGAAGGCGAGGCCCAAUAAGCAAAUUCCCAGCCCAAUCAAGAAAUCCAUCCAUACUUAGUUGAAAAUCAGGCCAAAUUGUCAAAGUGGCCCAAGUUGUAAAGUUUUAUUUUUAUUUUUAUUUAUUUAUUUAUUUAUUUACUUAGUUUAAAUUUUUAUGUCAAUAUUCAGUCCAAGAGUCUCAGAUAAAAUGACCUUUGACCGAAUUUCCAUAUUAAAAUAAUUAGGAGUUUUUUUUUAUUUUAGUUUUCUAAUUAGAUUAGGACUAGUUAUAAGGCCUAUUUAAAGGCAUGACUGUCCACCUUGUUAAACACUUAUCAUUAUUAUUAAAAUUUCAGAUUUGUUGAGAGCAGAAUUUUCUUUGAGUUUUCUCCAAGAUUUCUCUCUUGAGUUUUCUUUAGAAGUUGUUUUAACAAUCUUGUGAUUGUGGGAGCCAUCUUCAACCUUCUUCUUGCCAUUGAUAUUCUUUGGAGGGGAGAUUAGAGCCGUUUGAAGGGAGUUGUGAGAUCUUUCGAGAUUUCAAGGCUUCUUAGGACUUAUCUUUUAAUUUCUUACUGUCAAUUCUUUCUUUAUUUCUACUUGUGCUGAAUCAUUAUCUAAUCUAUUUUCUGUUCUUAUUGUGUUUUCAGCCUUUUUCUAUCUUAAGGAAUCAGCCCAAAAAUCCCCAAUUUCUAGGGUUUUUCCAUACUCUUUUUUGGGUGAAAUUAGAUUGUCGAAAUUUGGGGAAAACUAUCUUGGUGUUCAAUUGGGCAGAAUCACAAUCUCCUUGAGGGUUUCAAGAACCCUAACACUUAUUUCUAUUCUCAAUUUGAUUCUUUGCUGAUUUGGGGAUUUUAUUUUAGAUCUGAAAAUUCAAAAAUCUAAUCUUUUAAUUUUCUGUUUCGUUUCAGAUCUAAUUGUUUAGGGUUUUCGUAGGAGUUUCUCGUGACUUGGCAACUCGAUCUUGGUCCGCGCGCAACCCCGUAUCAUUUGGUAUCAGAUUUUGGGCGUUUUGGGUGUUCUUGGUUGAUUUCUAAACUGAUCUCUAUUUUUUAAAUUACAAACAGCAGUUUUACCCAGAAAAAUUUUCGAAAAAAAUUCAUUUGAGUGGGUAAACGUUUUCUGAUUGAUCUGAAAUUUUACAUACAUAUUUUUGGCACUGUUAUUGAAUAUACAAAAAUAUUUCCCGCAAAAAAAAUAAGUCGAAAAAGUCAAAAAAUUGAAAAAAGACGAAAUCUAAUAAAAAAUUAAAAAAAUAUUCAGCGGGUUGAAUUUGGUGCCCAAAUUUUCCAGAUCAAAAAUUAAAUAUAUAAGGACACUCUAGAUUUAAUUUCGUGAUUUUUGGAGAUCGGGAACACCUCGAACGAAGUUGUCAAAUUACUCCGCAGUUUUUCGGGUUUUCUGUUUUCAGCAAUUUUUAUUGAUUCUUAGCUGUAGGUUUUCAUUUGUUUACCUUUAUUCUUCCUUUACGUUAUCUAACACCUUCUUGUUUCUUGUGUUAGUAGGAUUUAAACGUAUGCACAACUUCUUCCUCGGUGCAACACGAAUCAAUUGGUGUCUCGUCAGUUUUUGGCAUCCUAGUGCAAAUUAGGAUUCUUUGGUAGUUUGGUUCACACUCUCUAAUUGGUUGAUAUAAACUCUGAUAAAGAACUCACAAGAUUGAAUUCGACCUCAUUGAGAAUUUGAAUUUUCUUUUUGAGUGAUUAAUGGUGAGGUUUGCUAACUUUUAUUUUUGAGUGUUGAGUGUUUAUUUUUUACAGGUUUUGAAGAUGUCUAAAGGUGAUAAUAAUGAUGCACUUAUGAAAGUCCAACAACAGUUAGAUGGACAUACUGCUGCAAUCACACAAAUAAAUGCUACACUUCAAGCAUUGAAUACUACUUUGAAUGAGGUACGAGUGAAUCAAAAACAUCAAUAUCGAGAUCCAAUUAAGGAAGAUAGGGAUAACCAACCCCAAAGGCGCGGCCCUCGACGUGUCACUAGAAUGGAUGAUGAUUUUCAUGAUCGUAGACAAUCAUCUUUGGCAAAACCAAGGAGCGAGCAGCAACGAGAACAUCUCUUUCAUACUCGCUGCCAUGUACAAGGUAAGCUUUGUAGAGUUAUUAUUGAUGGUGAAAGUUGCUCGAACAUAGCCAGCACGACGAUGGUGGAAAAGCUUUGCUUAACCACUACCAAGCAUCCACAACCUUAUCAACUACAAGGGCUUAGCAACGAAGGCCAAUUUAGGGUCACUCAACAAGUGCGCAUUGCCUUUUCUAUCGGUAAGUAUCAAGACGAAGUUGUGUGCGACGUAAUGCCUAUUCAAGCCUGCCAUUUGUUGCUAGGAGAACCAUGGCAACUGGAUCGAAAAGUCACUCACGAUGGUCGUACCAAUAGGUAUUCUUUCAAGCAUCAAGGAAAGAAACUUACCUUAGUGCCGCUCACUCCGGAACAAGUCCAUGAGGACCAAAUCAAACUAAGAAAUUCUGUUAAAACAAGUGAGGAAAAAGAAAAAGAGAAUGAAAAAGAGCAAAAAGAGAUUGAGAGUGAAAAGGAAUGUGAAACAGAAAAGAAAAUUGAAAAAGAAGUUGAAGAAAGAAGAGAAAAUGAGUUAGAAAAAGAAACAAAAGAAAAAGACGAGGAAAGGCUAGUGAGGAAUGUUUCCACUAACCAAGAUAUGAAUUUUUCUUGUGUUGCUACUUUUCAGGUUCCCGAAAGAUCGAAAGAUAACUUUCAACUUCAAUACCUCUCAAAUGAAAGACGCUUUCAUACGAUCAACUUAAGCAAAGAUGAAAUCACACUACAUGAUCCCGAAGGUAAGCGAGGUAAGGAAAUUUUAGAAACCGAGUCCAUUGCAGAUUUGAAAAUUAUUGAUAAAACUUUUGGUGACUUAGUUCUUAAAAUAUCCCCUCAUUUUGAUCCGAUUAAUUGUUACUCUUCGAUUGUGGUUGAUAAAGUCAUUACGAAAAGAAGCGUGAUUUGUUAUUCUCUUGAUUUACCUUGUGUAAAAUCCUCGAAUUUGUCCAAAUCUGUUUUCGAGAAUAAGGUAACGAAAUUUUCCAAAUUUGUUUUCAAUUUAUAUUCGUGCCUUAAACAGUUUAUGUGGUUGUACAUGAAGUUUGAGUUCCAUUUGACAAAGGUUAACUCAACAACGGAGAUUCGACUACACUAUGCCCCCGAUGAGCGAAAGUUUGUUUUAAAUGAAAAAGGUAAAAUCAACCCUUAUUCUUCUGCUUAUCGAGGUAAGAUGCUUGAAACCUUUGAAACACUUUUGUACUCCUUGGAUAGUGAUAAAGAUCGUGUUGAUGAACACUUAGAUCGAAACGUGCUUGACUGUCCUAUUUUAUUUAUUGAUGAUCUAUCUGUUUUGAUGAUUGAUAAAAAGAUUCUUGUUUUUGAUAAUGCAUGUGUGAGUGAAUCUAUAGACCGUCGAUUAAUGCAUGGUAUGAUUAUGCAACUCUGUGAACCAUGUGAAUCUUUUCAAAUACCUACUUGUGACGAUUAUGUUUACCAUUUGAUUUAUUACUCGCAAUUUAUUCAUGGUUUGUGGGAACAAUGUGAGACGACUGAAUGCCUUAAAACAUGUCCAUCUUUGUUUCAAAUAUUUGACGAGGCAGUGGUGAGUAAAUUAGAUUGUUUGCAUGGUAAUCUGAAUCUGUCCAUUCACAUACGUUAUACCUGUUCUGUUAUGCUUAUGAUUGGACUACAAGCUUGUUUCCGUUGCUAUUUACUAUCUCAUGGCUAUUCUUUUCAGUGGACUCAAUUGCCAUUAGUCCCGUUCGAUAGAGGAAAGUCGAGUUCAUUUGAUUUUUCAGAUUCGAGGACGAAUCUUUUUGAGGAAGGGGGGAAUGAUACGAGUCACAAAAGCCCAAAUUCUUGAAGGCGAGGCCCAAUAAGCAAAUUCCCAGCCCAAUCAAGAAAUCCAUCCAUACUUAGUUGAAAAUCAGGCCAAAUUGUCAAAGUGGCCCAAGUUGUAAAGUUUUAUUUUUAUUUUUAUUUAUUUAUUUAUUUAUUUACUUAGUUUAAAUUUUUAUGUCAAUAUUCAGUCCAAGAGUCUCAGAUAAAAUGACCUUUGACCGAAUUUCCAUAUUAAAAUAAUUAGGAGUUUUUUUUUAUUUUAGUUUUCUAAUUAGAUUAGGACUAGUUAUAAGGCCUAUUUAAAGGCAUGACUGUCCACCUUGUUAAACACUUAUCAUUAUUAUUAAAAUUUCAGAUUUGUUGAGAGCAGAAUUUUCUUUGAGUUUUCUCCAAGAUUUCUCUCUUGAGUUUUCUUUAGAAGUUGUUUUAACAAUCUUGUGAUUGUGGGAGCCAUCUUCAACCUUCUUCUUGCCAUUGAUAUUCUUUGGAGGGGAGAUUAGAGCCGUUUGAAGGGAGUUGUGAGAUCUUUCGAGAUUUCAAGGCUUCUUAGGACUUAUCUUUUAAUUUCUUACUGUCAAUUCUUUCUUUAUUUCUACUUGUGCUGAAUCAUUAUCUAAUCUAUUUUCUGUUCUUAUUGUGUUUUCAGCCUUUUUCUAUCUUAAGGAAUCAGCCCAAAAAUCCCCAAUUUCUAGGGUUUUUCCAUACUCUUUUUUGGGUGAAAUUAGAUUGUCGAAAUUUGGGGAAAACUAUCUUGGUGUUCAAUUGGGCAGAAUCACAAUCUCCUUGAGGGUUUCAAGAACCCUAACACUUAUUUCUAUUCUCAAUUUGAUUCUUUGCUGAUUUGGGGAUUUUAUUUUAGAUCUGAAAAUUCAAAAAUCUAAUCUUUUAAUUUUCUGUUUCGUUUCAGAUCUAAUUGUUUAGGGUUUUCGUAGGAGUUUCUCGUGACUUGGCAACUCGAUCUUGGUCCGCGCGCAACCCCGUAUCAGUAGGAGUUAAAUUGAGUGCCGAAUGACAUUUUCUUUGAGCAAGUUUUGAGUUUUUUUGGUGUUUCUUUUCUGUAUUAAUUGCUGCUUAUCGCUUUUGUUGUCCUCACUUCAUUGGAGCAAGUUUUGGGUUUGUUGUCCUUGCCUUAUAGCAGUUCUUAGUUUUGUUUUAUUGCUAUUAGGUUCUGGUUAAGUAACUCAAAACUCUAUGUGAAACAUCACUUUUGAGAACUUAUCAUUUGCUAAGACUGCUAAACCUGCUGGCUCUAUUAUGGUAGAGGCAUGAUCUUAUUGGAUAGGAGAUCUUUGGAAUAUGUAAAAGAAUAGGAUAAUUCUAGAGUGUAGAGCCGGAGGGCAUGUUUCUAAGGUUUUUUUCUCUUCAACUUGCAAGUUCGAUCCUUUCCCCCAGGUUUUGUUUUGUUCUUUUAGUAACUUUGCCUGUACUUUGACUACUUUUGUUGUUGGCUAUUAUAAAUUUUUGGAGAUUUGCUUGGUUUAUGCCAAGCUUUAGUGGUUUAAGAUAUUAAUAUUAUUUAAAGUAAUACACCAUUUUAGAUAUAUUUCUCCAUUUCAUAUUUUAGAAGUUCAUACUAAUCUGUUUUAAAAAUGUUUGUAUAAUUUAUCCCAAUAUAAAAAUUAAUAAUACAUUUUUGUAAAACAAUUUUAAACCUUUAAAUUUUUUGCUAUGUUAUGAACAUGAGAGCUGAGUCACGAGACCAUUGAUGGGUAAGUCGAAGUCAAUUGUCUUCCCUUUAUCUGUAUUCUUGUAAUGAUCUAUUGUGAUUGAUAGUUCAGCCAAUCAAAGGGAGACCAAAACCUUAAGAUUCAAUAGAGAGAGACCCAGACACCUUAGGGUUUUUUUGAUAGAAAUUCUGCUUAUUAUUCCAUACGCCUCUUCAGAUAAGGACCAAUCUUAUUACAUACAUAGGAAAACCUAUUCUAAAAAGGAAAUUAAUUAAUUGAAAUAAAUUCACAAUCAAGAAACCUAAGGGAACACAUAAAAUUGCAACCCAAGACUUGAUUAGAGAAGCGAAAUUAUGGCCUUUCCUAACAUAGGUUCAACCCAUAACAUUACCCCCUCUUGCCAUGUGAGCUUAUCCUUAAGUUUGAAGUCAAGAUAACUUGACAAUAUAAAUCAACCUAGUUCAGUCUCAAUUUUAGUUUUUGGUGCUUCAUGAGUCAAAUAAGCUACUUUCAACCAAAAGGGGUAGGAAAAUUUACUGAAUUAGCUUUAAUAGUUCCCCCUAAUAUAUUGCUGCCAUCAUUACCUUGCCAAGUUCCUCUAUGGUUAUUUCUGACAUGUAGUAUUUGCUGCUUCUAUUCAAAGGCUUUAGUGAGGCUUGUAGUUAUGGCUAAAUUAGGGGGCUCGUGCAUUUGAACAUCCAAGCGAAUGGAAUCAUUUGGUCCAGCCAUGAAAAACCCAUCAUGUCAGUUUACUUGAAUGUAUUGACUAGCUCUUGCUAAUUUUUGUUGAUAUUGUUGCUGAUAAAGCUCUAAAGUUCCUGUCUAUUUCAAACUAACCAGAUCUCCCAAGGAGUUGCCGCCCAUCAGAGCACCAAAACUAAAGGAGCCAUAAUUAUAGGAUUCUUACUGGUUCAUCACAUGUCCCUCCAAUUUGAUUUAAUAAUACCAAAGUGGUGCCUCACCCAGAAUGUGGAAGGCUGCCAAACUUACCUUGUUUGCCUCAUUGGCGUGUUGGUUUUGAAAAAUUAUUCACAUCAAUGUAGCCAAAUCAAAGGAUCCUUUGAUCCAUCAAAAGUUUGAAAAUCUACUUUUGUGUACUUGGGAAUAAUUCCAAUUGAUGGAACCCUCUGCUCCCCAAGUGGUGGUGGCGCCAUGCCUCCUACAGUAGUUGGUGGGAAAUGCAUCGGUCUAGUUGGAUUGUUUUACUGCCUACAUCACCAUCCCUAGUUUUUUUGCCCAAGUAAAAAAUUAGGGUUUUGAGUUGUUCCUAGAUAUGUCGAGUUAUUUGUUGAAGGUAGAUGUUUAUACGAGUUUUUAGAUUGAUGAACUUAGCCUCCACCACAGGUUUCAAAACAAUUCUCUCUUAUAACAAUGCUCAUACAUCAUUGCCAAUGUGAUAUGCUUUGAUGCCAAAUUGUUAUGGACAUGAGAAUAGGAUUUGAGUCAUAGGGCGAUUAAUAGGGAAGUUGAAGUCAAUUGUGUUAUUAUUGUGAUUGACAUUUCAGCUCAUCAAAGGAACACAGAAACCUUAGGACCGGUAAAGAGAGACUUGAAUCUCUUUAGUUUUAUUCAUAGAAAUUUUGUUUAGGGUUUAUUAUUCUAUACAUCCCUUUAAACGAGGACCAGUUUUAUUACAUAAAUAAGAAAUUUAUUCUAAGAAGAAAUAAAUAAAUUGAUAUAAAAUCACAAUCAAGAAACUUAGGAAAGAAUUAAAAUUGCAACCUAGUCCUUAAUUAGAGAAUCAAAAUUUAUGCCCUUCCUAACAUAGGUUUGGCCCAUAACAUGCUAAUUAUAUUUUGUAUUACUAGUACUUUAAACUAUUUAAUUCUGUCAUGUAACUGAUAGUUUUUCCCAGCCUCUUUUUCACACAAUAAAGCUCAAUCAAUAUGUCUUUGCAUGUAUGUUUGUAUCUAUCAUUUUGGUUCCAAACUUUAACUAGUUAAUGCUGGUUAGAUUAGGCUUCCUUUGGUGUGUGGCUAAUAGCUUUUACUUGGAUAGUUUGCACGCUAUGCCUUGUUUAGCAUUGCUUCUCAAACCAAUCUUUCAAGCCAAACGAACUUUUUGAGUCAUUAAUAAUGCUAAAUAGUCAGCUUUUCAAACCUCACCAAAAAGUUGAAAAUUAUAGCUUUUGGCUUUUCGAAAGCUAGUUUGGGUGCCAAAAUAUAAUUUUGCAGGUUUACAAUAUUCAUUGCCUAAAAAGUAUUUAAAAUUUAUAUUUUAUAUAUUAUACUUACAAUGAAUUAUUAUAAAUUAUUUUUGUUAUACUUUCUAUUAUGAGCUAAGUUGAAUAUUUGUUCAUACCAAAAUAAUUUUAACAUGACAUUGUGGUAAUAAUAAUAAAGACAAGGGAAAGAAUGAUACUUUGCAUUUGAGUCAAUUAUUCAUUACUUAUGAAAUUUUUAUUGAUUUAUAAGAGUUAUGCUUAUAUGUUAUAUGGUUUAUACAUUAGAAAAUUUAUUAACAAUUAAUAUUAAUUGCUUAAAUGUAUUAAUUACUUAAAUGUAUUAAUUAUUGAUAUUUCAUACAUCAUAAUAUUAACAAUUUUGAAUACCAUUUAAAUUAACUUAUUUUUUACUUUACAACAUCAUGUCUAAAAUGAAUAUUUUUACUUUUUACUUCUUUAUAGCAAUGCCGAACAUUUGAAAUCGUGUAUCACACUUUUCAAAAGCUAAGUCAUUAUUCAUAUGUGGAAUCAAAAUCUUGAAAUCAUUUAACCCUCCCCAAUCAAGAAAUAGAAGUCAUGGGUCAUUGAUAUUAUUGCUUGUUCUAAAAUUCCAAGCAAAAAUCUCAAAAUGUACUCCUUAUUUGAUUGAGGAAAAAAUAUAAGGAAAAUAACAAUUUUGUGGGGUAGAGAUGAACACUACGAUAAUGAGAUUGAAAUGAUCUAAGUAAUUCAUCAUAAGAAGUGUUCUUGGUGACAAAAUAUAAUAAAUGCUUUAAAAAUGUAAGUGACUAAUUUACAACUUCAAAUCAUUUAAUCUAUAAAAGAUAUAAAUAUCAAGCUGUUAAGUUUCAACAUGCACGACCUAUGCUGAAUUUUCCUCUUCAGGCCCUUUGGUUAGUCCUACCUCAAAUAGAGCCAAAACACAUUUAAUGUCAAUAUGUUGGAAAACUUACCUUACUGCUUUAAGAGUUCAGUCCUAAUUCAUGUUUUCAGGUGCAUUGAGCCUUUGUGAGAGGGUGAUGUGCAUAUUAUUAAUGUCUGUUUUUUUUUAUGUGCAUAUUAUUAAUGUCUGUUUUUCUUUCUUUUGUUAAUUAAUGUAAUGAUAUGAGUUCAUUUCUCUGUUUUUUCUCCUUUUAGCUUAUUUCUUGUUUGCUUUCUUCCUUUUCCUUUAUUAUUGUGCUUGAUUAUGUUUCUUGAUGAAUAACUAGGCUUUGGUUGCAUGAAGACUUAAUGUUCCAAAUGCUAUUUUGAGGUGUAUGUUAGAUAUGUCCAAUAUGCAUCUAAGUUCUAGUUUGCUGUUGUUAUACUUGCAUUUUUACAAUUCAAAGUCAGGUUAUUUUGAUAGUCAAUCAUUGUUCUAUGGCAUUUCUUUCCUACAUGUUACAUCCCUCCUUUUCCGUUGGAUCAACAUUUGAAUAUAACUAAGCUUAAUUGCAAGGCACCUGUCUAAGUUCUAUUUUGCUCUUAUUAUAUUUGCAUUUAUUUUACAAUUGGAAGUCAGGUUAUUUUGAUGGUCCAUAAUUGUUUUAUAGUGUUUCUUCUCAACAUGUUGCAACCCUCCUCUUUUUUCCGGGCUUGGGACCGGCUGUAAUUGCAGCUAUAAGCAUCUUGUGCUACCACAGGCAGAGUUAUUGCAACAUAUGCAUAUAGUUUCUUGUUAAAUACACUGUUUCCUUGCUCUGUGAGCUAUAUUUUAUGACAUUUGGGUUGUGAACCUUCUUGGGAUGCUUGCAUGCUGUCCAAUUUAUUGUAGUGUCCUGAGACUUUCUGAAAGUGAAUGUAGCCUGAAGUUAAGUUACUUUUACGGCCCAAAGUCUCAAUUGUAACUGUAUAUACUGGUUAUGUUAAUCCAAGCUCUUUUUUUUUUUUUUUUUUAUUGGGGGGGGGGGAGUGACUGUCCCAGGUCUUAAGCCAUGUAGGUUAUAUUUGUGCAUCUUCUAGUUAGGCAGUCAACUAGAAACACGAAUUGUAACUGCAUGUGCUGGUUAUGUCAGUCAAAGCUAUUCUCGGGGGUGGGUGGACUGUCCUAGGUCUUAAAGCCAUGUAGGCUAUACUUGUGAAUUUUCUAUUGAGCAGUAAACUAGAAACACGAUCCGAUGGUUUUAACAUUUUGAAAUUGUACUGCCAUCAUAUGUAUAUGCUAUGUUUAAGUCUCUCAAUAUUGGUUUGUAUUAACUAAUCGUGUUAUAUAUUAAAUACCAAAGAAACUCGUUUUUACCUUCUGUUCAUAUAGUAUUGUAAUGUAUUAUAAGGCGGCUAUUUUCUUUAGUUACCUUGAACUGGUAUUCUAAAACUUUUAUAUUAUUAUUCUUUUGGUAUUGCAGGUCAUGUUAUCAGCUUUCUGUCUACAAUGUAAUGAAUGAGAAAACGUAGGACUCUAUAAGAAGGUAAACCUAAUAAAAAAAAAUGAAUUACAUAAGAAGGUAUAAAUAUAAUUGAAAAUUGAGUUGUAGUAAAACUUGAAUGAAUUUACUCUUUUAAGGAUCUUGUUGGUGAUGCUUCCAUAUUUCGAAUUUUUUUGUAGCUUCACCAAUCUAAAUAUUAACAUUUUUCUGAACCACCGUGUUGCUGUCAUAGAAGUUUCGAAAGAUGAAGCUUUUUCAUUUCAAAUUAACAAAAACAAGUGUGUAAUUACGAUAUUCAUUUCAGUCAUCUUUGAAACUUCAAAAAAGUUAAUGCUGGUUUCUCCUUCUUAUAUAUAUAUAUUUAUUUAUUAGCUUAAAUUAUCUUUACAUAACUAGAUGGUUUUCUUGAUCAUCACACACAUGCUAAAGUUCAUUUGUUUAAACAUUUCAAACCAAUGUUUGCUGAAUGAUUGGUGGUUUUAACAUACCACAUCUUACUAUGAGAAGCAUAACUUUGGAACCAUGAGAUAUUUGUUGAUAGAAGUUGAGUGACAUCCAAUCCCAUUUCUGUACAUCUGCUUUUGCUACUGCAAUUGCAGUCUGCUGCAGUUACCAUGAAAAAAAGGUGUACAUCAAAUUGGGGCAAAGAAAUCUGCAUUAAAUCAAAAUCUAACAUAUAGAGUGGGAUGUACCCCAAGUUUGUAGCUCUUGUUGGUGUUUCAUAGCUUUGUUGCUGUGGCUGGCACAGCUGGAGACAAACUGGAACUUGUGAAUCCUCUCCAAUGCCUAAACCAUUUGUAAGAAGGGAGUCUUUGUUUGCACCAUCGACAUCCCUUGUUCCAUAAACCUGGAUGUGUUAAACUUUGAUUUUGAGGUUGGUUUUAGAAAUUCUUAUAACAGGCAAAGGUUUAAUGGUUGAAUCUUUUUAAUGUUUCUAGUAUAUUGGGAUUGUUAUGAUCCAUUAAUACCUUCUUAUAUAAUUCAUUGUUUUCUUGACGAAUUAGGUUUACCUUCUUAUAGAGUUCCACAUUUUCUUGAUGAAUUAUGUUCCCCUGCAACGAGACACUGCAAUUUAGCCACUUAUGCUGAGACAGUAUGGUAGUAAGGAGCUGAAGUUAUUGUGUCAGGAUUUACCUUUCUGUUCAAUUCUUGAAUUUCAUUCAUUAAAAUUUGAUCCUACAGCAGUGGAAUAAAUGUUACUAAAUGGGGUUGCUUUAUUUUGCAUGCUGUUUUGAACUUAAAAUCUGAGCAUGACUUGGAAAUAAAAGUUUCAAACCUUCUUCAUACGAACACCGCGAAGGCUCAUUUCCAAUUGGCUCUCCAAAUUCUGUAACUCUUUUACACCCAAUCCAGAAAGUUCUUCACCCAUCAUUUGCCUGUUUUGGUGUGCAGAAGCAUAAUUUCAGUCUAUAAAUUUUCAUCUUAGACAUUAUAAAAGUCUUUUGUAGGCAUGUACAUGAGAUGCAAUGGACUUUACAUUCUCAUUCUACUCUUGGGUCCAUUCAAUGCUUCAGGGUUAGAUAUGAAAUCCUUUUAUAGGAAAGAAAAUUAUGGCUGGGACUGCUAGUCUCUGUGUGUUCAUUUUUGUUGAAGGAUGAAUGAUUCAUUCAGUCUAAUCUUUAGAUAUAUAUGAAUCAUGCCAUAAAGGAUAGAACAUUCUAAGCAUAGUUGCAUCAUAAAAGGGUGGAAUAAGUAGUUCUAAAAUCCAUAGGGAAAGCUGUUAUUUGGUUGAAAAGUAUGAAGCUGACUGUGUUGAACUGAGACAUAUGGGCGUAAGUGUUGUGUUUGGAAGAAUGCCUAAUGUAAAAAGAGUUAUUGAUUCUGCAUUUUUGGUUCAUUGUAUUUUUUUCAUUAAUGUUUAACAUGAUGCAUUUGUAUCGCCAAAAAAUUGGUUUACCUGUGAUUUUCUUGCAGGUUUUGCAAUUUCUGUCUCAGAAUUGCUGCCUCCCUCUGCCAGAACUGAAAAAUAUGGUUCAAUAUAUUUAGAUAACUUUGUUACUGGUAUAUGACAAUAACCAUGCAUAUCAUAUAUGUGGACUCAACAAUGUUCUGAAUACUGCAAAUGUAGGCAAAUUUACACGCAAAAGGAAAUCAAACAUAUUUAGAUUCAAGGUUCUUGCUAGAGAAGAUUUUCAAUCUUGUAGAGAAGUUAGACUAUGAGUUAAAUUAAGCAAGAAUAUGUAUGUUUAACCAUUUUGAUGAUAAAUCACUUCUUGAGUUCUUCGUGUACUUGUCAAAGUUAUGCACAUUUUAGCUCUUGCUGUGGAAGCUUUAUUCUAUUUUUGUCUUUUGGAUUUAAAAAUUAGGAUCUUAGAGCUAACAACUAGUAAAAAGCUAGGUGAAAUUUAUAUGCACUUACAGAUGCUUUUUCUUCUAGAAAUUGCCAAGUACAAACUUCAGGAUAUUGGAGGAUGCUUCUAGUUCUAUGUAUUUCACCAAUGGAAGCUCAAAGGAAUAAAACACAUCAGGAUGUGAAUUCCAAUGUAGAUAGAUAAUAUAUAAAUUUCUGGAUUUGGUCUACAAGCAAGGAAAUGAAAGUUCUAUUUUGCCAUUGGACUAUGUUAUUGACUUUGGAGCUGUUGAUGAAUAUAAUGUGUUGGAGGAAGCUAUUGCUUAGCUUCUCAACAAAGUUGAGGCAGUCUUUGGAGAAAGAUAACUGUAAAAAUUUCCUCCUUUCUUUAGGGUAAUUAAAGGCUCUUAUUUUUGGCUUGCCUGCUCAAGAAACUUAGCAAGUAAAAUCCCAUGGGAAAUUUAUAUGCACUGAUAGUUUUCUGCUGGAUAUAGCGAAGUACAAACUUUCUUCAGCGAGUUAAAUGAUUCUUUAUCUAGAAUUAAUCAGAGAAUGCUUCUAGCUUCAAUAUAUAUCAUAGGUAAAAACUGUAAAAGCAUCAAAAAGCAUAAUAAGAGGCAGGAGUCAUGGUUUUCAAAGUAGAAAUAUUAUACUUCAGUAUUUGCGUUUGGUCUAGAGGCAAGGAACAUCAGGUCUAAGAUGAAAGAUGGCUUUAGAAGGAAAUUUAUGAAGUCAUUAGGUAAAGCUAACUGCAAGGAUUUUCCCAUUGUUUAAUGUAACUUCCUGUUAGAAUGUUCAUAUCGUGAUUUAAACAUGAGGGAGAGUUAAAAGCAGGUUUUACUAUUGUCAACUGUUAUAGUGGGGAUUUCUCAUUGGUGAAUUAAAAACUUUUCACUGGAAACUUUGAAAGUACUGUUAUUCUUCAUAGAGAAAGACACCUACAGAGGAAAUUUACCAUUGCGGUCGCUCUCUAAAGGAAAUAACUUCCAUGCACAUAGGAAACUUAGAACAAUUGACUGCUAUGCCACUCUGUAAUCUCUAACUUCGUCGAAUCUCUUCUUUACUUAAUUCUAGGAUUCUGCUCUAAGAUAACAGUUAACAUUGGAAAUUUUUUAAUCUGUUGAUCAGUUAAGAUUUUAGUCAUUUUUAUGCUGUAGUUGCCCCUUAAACCAUAAAAGCAUGACAGCAAGCUAUGAUAAGUGGUAGUUCUCUCAACUUUCCAGGUUGAAUGUCAUGACUGUGGCAGGUACAAGUACCUCCUUAUAACUUUCCAUCCUUGCGUGCGUCUUUAUGUUAGAUGUUAAUUCUUUCAUCACCACAUGAAUACUAGUAGGAGAGAGCAUAAGUAUAUAUUAUAUUUUAAUUAUUUUACAUAUAUUAUAAAUAUAUAAUAUAUUAUUUAAAAAUUAAUUUGGUUAACUGACUGAAUUGACCGAUGUUAAGUUGGUUUGGUUAUAGUAGGAGGAUGGUAAAUUAAGUAAAAAGCCAUCCAAACCGACUGACUUAACCAUAUGUGCACCCCUAAAUACUAGUGCAUGAUUUGACCAUAGUUCUUGUUUUCGGGAGGUAUCUUACUGCUAUAACUGGUCUCUAUUCGUUGUCUGGUCUGAACUUUGUACCAUUCUCACCCUCAUCAAUUUUUAUAUUUUGAAAUAUAUCCUCUUUAUCACUGUUAGAAUUAGCAUGUCCUAGGCUCGUAGAUUUUGUAGACCUAUCUCAUUGUGUUUUUUUAACUAGUCUCAAAUAAUAUUUUUUUGAUUGAUAGGUAGAUAAAUAAAAAGAGGGAGGGAGGGAGUUAAUUGAAGUGUUGCCUAGCCUUCCAGUGGCGAUAUGAAGUGUUUGGUUAUCCAAACUAAUCUCCAUUUAAUGUCCAUUGUCAUGCCUGAAGAUGAUAAUUUCUUAGCAUUUUUAUUUUGCUUAUAUUCACCAUGGGCCCAUUUUGGUUUCUUCGAUGUUGUAUCUUAAUUGGUAAUGUUUCCAUCAUAGAAAGGCAAGAUCCUAGCAUGGUUAGCCUAUGCAUGCACUUAUCUCAUUCCUAUUCCAACAAUCCGAAGAGUAAUUAAUGGAAUGUAUCCAAACCAAUUAUCUUCAGGUUUUGCUGCGGCCAAAUUUUUGUCAUCAGUUGCACAAAAUCUAGACCUGAAACUGAUGCUUAACUAUAAAAUUUUACGAGCAUUUUGUCCUAUUAACUUAUGCCUGCUGCCAAUCUGAACUGAUGCUCAGCUAUAUAAAUUUACAAGCAUUUUGUAACAGUAGCCUAUGCCUGCUGCCAACCUGAGACCCAUGCUUAGCUAUAAAAAAUUUUCAUGCAUCAUGUUUCCAGGUAUGCUUGUAAUGUUUGGUCCCCGAAAAAAUUAUUUAACCUUGCAAUCUUACAUUUUCUUUUUCCGGAGAAGUUAAAUGCCUGCUAAUUAGCUAAUAAUAAAAUUAUGUAUCAAGCAUGCUCUGUAGAUACAAGACAUUUAGGAUUAAGUACUUAAACAAUACCUUGACUUCUGAGGUUGGGCUCCCCAGUUG